Molecule: ribosomal RNA, 492 nt
Filed under: uncultured bacterium
Lineage: Bacteria
Description: partial 16S ribosomal RNA
Rfam family: Bacterial small subunit ribosomal RNA
Source: RNAcentral
AGUGAACGCUGGCGGUAGGCCUAACACAUGCAAGUCGAACGGCAGCACAGUAAGAGCUUGCUCUUACGGGUGGCGAGUGGCGGACGGGUGAGGAAUACAUCGGAAUCUACUUUUUCGUGGGGGAUAACGUAGGGAAACUUACGCUAAUACCGCAUACGACCUACGGGUGAAAGCAGGGGAUCUUCGGACCUUGCGCGAUUGAAUGAGCCGAUGUCGGAUUAGCUAGUUGGCGGGGUAAAGGCCCACCAAGGCGACGAUCCGUAGCUGGUCUGAGAGGAUGAUCGGCCACACUGGAACUGAGACACGGUCCAGACUCCUACGGGAGGCAGCAGUGGGGAAUAUUGGACAAUGGGCGCAAGCCUGAUCCAGCCAUACCGCGUGGGUGAAGAAGGCCUUCGGGUUGUAAAACCCUUUUGUUAGGAAAGAAAAGCAGCAGGUUAAUACCCCGCUGUUCUGACGGUACCCAAAGAAUAAGCACCGGCUAACUUCGUG